RNAcentral lists this ribosomal RNA (253 nucleotides) under uncultured microorganism. Its description in RNAcentral is "partial 16S ribosomal RNA". It matches the Rfam family "Bacterial small subunit ribosomal RNA", at positions 524 to 776 of the family's 1533-position model. The record is from RNAcentral.
UACGAAGGGUGCAAGCGUUACUCGGAAUUACUGGGCGUAAAGCGCGCGUAGGUGGCUUGAUAAGCCGGUUGUGAAAGCCCCGGGCUCAACCUGGGAACGGCAUCCGGAACUGUCAGGCUAGAGUGCAGGAGAGGAAGGUAGAAUUCCCGGUGUAGCGGUGAAAUGCGUAGAGAUCGGGAGGAAUACCAGUGGCGAAGGCGGCCUUCUGGACUGACACUGACACUGAGGUGCGAAAGCGUGGGUAGCAAACAGG